GUGGGGAAUCUUAGACAAUGGGGGAAACCCUGAUCUAGCCAUGCCGCGUGAGCGAUGAAGGCCUUAGGGUUGUAAAGCUCUUUCAGAUGGGAAGAUAAUGACGGUACCAUCAGAAGAAGCCCCGGCUAACUCCGUGCCAGCAGCCGCGGUAAUACGGAGGGGGCUAGCGUUGUUCGGAAUUACUGGGCGUAAAGCGCACGUAGGCGGACCAGAAAGUCAGAGGUGAAAUCCCAGGGCUCAACCUUGGAACUGCCUUUGAAACUCCUGGUCUUGAGGUCGAGAGAGGUGAGUGGAAGUCCGAGUGUAGAGGUGAAAUUCGUAGAUAUUCGGAGGAACACCAGUGGCGAAGGCGGCUCACUGGCUCGAUACUGACGCUGAGGUGCGAAAGCGUGGGGAGCAAACAGGAUUAGAAACCCUUGUAGUCC
This 425-nucleotide ribosomal RNA is filed under the name uncultured bacterium. RNAcentral's name for it is "partial 16S ribosomal RNA". It matches the Rfam family "Bacterial small subunit ribosomal RNA", at positions 354 to 796 of the family's 1533-position model. The record is from RNAcentral.